GCGGGUGUAGCUCAAUGGUAGAGUUCUGGCCUUCCAAGGCAGCUGUGAGGGUUCGAUCCCCUUCACCCGCUCCA
RNAcentral lists this transfer RNA (74 nucleotides) under Clostridioides difficile. RNAcentral's name for it is "tRNA-Gly". It matches the Rfam family "tRNA". From Rfam's summary of the family: Transfer RNA (tRNA) molecules are approximately 80 nucleotides in length. The record is from RNAcentral. Lineage: Bacteria; Bacillati; Bacillota; Clostridia; Peptostreptococcales; Peptostreptococcaceae.